GAUGAACGCUGGCGGCGUGCCUAAUACAUGCAAGUCGAGCGAACAGACGAGGCGCUUGCUCCUCUGACGUUAGCGGCGGACGGGUGAGUAACACGUGGAUAACCUACCUAUAAGACUGGGAUAACUUCGGGACACCGGAGCUAAUACCGGAUAAUAUAUUGAACCGCAUGGUUCAAUAGUGAAAGACGGUUUUGCUGUCACUUAUAGAUGGAUCCGCGCCGCAUUAGCUAGUUGGUAAGGUAACGGCUUACCAAGGCAACGAUGCGUAGCCGACCUGAGAGGGUGAUCGGCCACACUGGAACUGAGACACGGUCCAGACUCCUACGGGAGGCAGCAGUAGGGAAUCUUCCGCAAUGGGCGAAAGCUUGACGGAGCAACGCCGCGUGAGUGAUGAAGGUCUUCGGAUCGUAAAACUCUGUUAUUAGGGAAGAACAAAUGUGUAAGUAACUAUGCACGUCUUGACGGUACCUAAUCAGAAAGCCACGGCUAACUACGUG
RNAcentral lists this ribosomal RNA (497 nucleotides) under uncultured bacterium. RNAcentral's name for it is "partial 16S ribosomal RNA". It matches the Rfam family "Bacterial small subunit ribosomal RNA", at positions 28 to 507 of the family's 1533-position model. The record is from RNAcentral.